This 497-nucleotide ribosomal RNA is filed under the name uncultured bacterium. Its description in RNAcentral is "partial 16S ribosomal RNA". It matches the Rfam family "Bacterial small subunit ribosomal RNA", at positions 28 to 507 of the family's 1533-position model. The record is from RNAcentral.
GAUGAACGCUGGCGGCGUGCCUAAUACAUGCAAGUCGAGCGAACACACGAGGACCUUCCUCCUCUGACGUUAGCGGCGGGCGGGUGAAUAACACGGGGAUAACCUACCUAUAAGACUGGAAUCACUUCGGGGAACCGUUGCUAAUACAGGCUAAUUACUUGAACCACCUGGUUACAUAGUGAAAUCGCGUUUUGCUGUCACUUAUAGAUGGAUUCGCGCCGGAUUAGCUAGUUGGUAAGGUAACGGCUUACCAAGGCAACGAUCCGUAGCUGACCUGAGAGGGUGAUCGGCCAAACUGGAACUGAGACACGGUCCAGACUCCUACGGGAGGCAGCAGUAGGGAAUUUUCCGCAAUGGGCGAAAGCCUGACGGAGCAACGCCGCGUGAGUGAUGAAGGUCUUCGGAUCGUAAAACUCUGUUAUUAGGGAAGAAAAAAUGUGUAAGUAACUAUGCACGUCUUGACGGUACCUAAUCAGAAAGCCACGGCUAACUACGUG